This 653-nucleotide ribosomal RNA is filed under the name uncultured bacterium. RNAcentral describes it as "bacterial SSU rRNA". It matches the Rfam family "Bacterial small subunit ribosomal RNA", at positions 85 to 770 of the family's 1533-position model. The record is from RNAcentral.
AGAUAGUAAGGUGGCGGACGGGUGAGUAACACGUAAAGACUUGCCCUGCAGUCUGGGACAACUAUUGGAAACGAUAGCUAAUACCGGAUAUUGCUGCAUGGCGAAAGCUGUAUGCGCUGCAGGAGAGCUUUGCGUCCCAUUAGUUAGUUGGUGAGGUAACGGCUCACCAAGACCGCGAUGGGUAGCCGGCCUGAGAGGGUGAACGGCCACAAGGGGACUGAGACACGGCCCUUACUCCUACGGGAGGCAGCAGUGGGGAAUAUUGGACAAUGGACCAAAGUCUGAUCCAGCAAUUCUGUGUGCACGAUGACGGUCUUAGGAUUGUAAAGUGCUUUCAAUCGGGAAAAAGAAAGUGAUGGUACCGAUAGAAGAAGCGACGGCUAAAUACGUGCCGGCAGCCGCGGUAAUACGUAUGUCGCAAGCGUUAUCCGGAUUUAUUGGGCGUAAAGCGCGUCUAGGCGGUCUGGUAAGUCUGAUGUGGAAAUGCGGGGCUCAACUCCGUAUUGCGUUGGAAACUGCCAGACUAGAGUACUGGAGAGGUGGGCGGAACUACAAGUGUAGAGGUGAAAUUCGUAGAUAUUUGUAGGAAUGCCGAUAGAGAAGUCAGCUCACUGGACAGAUACUGACGCUGAAGCGCGAAAGCAUGGGGAGCA